Molecule: non-coding RNA, 27 nt
Filed under: Mus musculus (house mouse)
Lineage: Eukaryota; Metazoa; Chordata; Mammalia; Rodentia; Muridae
Source: RNAcentral
UGGAUGUGAUAGUUGAUAGUCCUGCAC